GACGAACGCUGGCGGCGUGCUUAACACAUGCAAGUCGAACGAAGAGCGAUGGAAGCUUGCUUCUAUCAAUCUUAGUGGCGAACGGGUGAGUCACGCGUAAUCAACCUGCCCUUCAGAGGGGGACAACAGUUGGAAACGACUGCUCAUACCGCAUACGAUCUAAUCUCGGCAUCGAGGAUAGAUGAAAGGUGGCCUCUACAUGUAAGCUAUCACUGAAGGAGGUGAUUGCGUCUGAUUAGCUAGUUGGAGGGGUAACGGCCCACCAAGGCGAGGAUCAGUAGGCGGACGGCGAGGAUGAGAAGCCACAUUGGGAGGGAGACACGGCACAGACGCCUACGGGAGGGAGCAGGAGGGAAACGUGAGGAAGGGACGAAAGACAGACGGAGAAACGCCGAGGGAGGGAGGACGGCCGUCGGGUUGUAAAGGACGGUUAAUCGGGACGAAAGGCCUUCUUGCGAAGAGGGAGAAGGAUUGACGGUACCGGAAGAGAAAGCAACGGCUAACUACGUG
RNAcentral lists this ribosomal RNA (510 nucleotides) under uncultured bacterium. RNAcentral's name for it is "partial 16S ribosomal RNA". It matches the Rfam family "Bacterial small subunit ribosomal RNA", at positions 28 to 507 of the family's 1533-position model. The record is from RNAcentral.